UGGGCCCCUGGAAAUGAACGAAGCAUUAA
This 29-nucleotide non-coding RNA is filed under the name Mus musculus (house mouse). Lineage: Eukaryota; Metazoa; Chordata; Mammalia; Rodentia; Muridae. The record is from RNAcentral.